This 1109-nucleotide long non-coding RNA is filed under the name Rattus norvegicus (Norway rat). Its description in RNAcentral is "long non-coding RNA NONRATT030591". Lineage: Eukaryota; Metazoa; Chordata; Mammalia; Rodentia; Muridae. The record is from RNAcentral.
GUCGAGGAGCCGUCGCCGCCAUUUCAAGACAGUGCGAGGUAGAUGUCUAACAAGAGUUCUUAAGAUUCGAGUUCAGUAUAUUCUGCCACCCCCUAAGCCUUCCAAAACACUGAUUUGGCUGCUGCCCUUUUUCUGCUACCUCUAGAAACAUUCUUGUUAGUAGUGGCGGCAGUAGAAGUCAAUUAUCCCCUUGUUCUAUCUCAAGAAGCUCCAGAUGGCGUCUUCCGUGGGCAACGUGGCCGACAGCACAGAACCAACGAAACGUAUGCUUUCCUUCCAAGGGUUAGCUGAGUUGGCACAUCGGGAAUAUCAGGCAGGAGACUUUGAGGCAGCUGAGAGACACUGCAUGCAGCUCUGGAGACAAGAGCCUGACAAUACUGGUGUUCUUUUAUUACUUUCAUCUAUACAUUUCCAGUGUCGAAGGCUGGACAGAUCUGCUCACUUUAGCACCUUGGCAAUUAAACAGAAUCCCCUUCUAGCAGAAGCCUAUUCGAAUUUGGGAAAUGUAUACAAGGAAAGAGGGCAAUUACAGGAAGCAAUUGAGCAUUAUCGACAUGCUUUGCGGCUCAAGCCUGAUUUCAUUGAUGGUUAUAUUAACCUGGCAGCAGCCUUGGUAGCAGCAGGUGACAUGGAGGGAGCAGUGCAAGCAUACGUCUCUGCUCUUCAGUACAAUCCUGAGUUAGAUCAUCUUUAAUAACAAUGGGCUCCAUCAUGAUCUUAUGUGGGAAUCAAUAACAUUCCUUCAAAUCUGAGGCUUGCCUGCUAGUGACAAGCAGAGUGCCUGUGAUUUGGCUCAAGACGCCUAUAUGAUGCAGGUGCCAUUGAAAACGCUGCUCUUCUAAGUCCUUUGUGGCUUGUAAGUGGAGAAGAAUUUCAUCCAAAUGUUACCCUGUAAUACUGGCAUUUAAAAUUCUUAUUUAACCUUCCUCCCUUCAUCUUCCUCACCCCUUUACAGUGGAAGAAAGGCUGUUAAAAUAUUGCAAAUUAAUAAUUGGAACAUCCUGCCCCUCUUGUUCCCACUUCCUCCCCAAAUUCCUUUCCCCCUUUUCCCCAAUCCUAGUUGUCUAUCUUUUUUUUCUUCCUUACUUCCUUUUCUUUUAUUCCUCCCC